CACACUAAUAGUUGUCAAAAAAUUUGACGCUUGAAAAUUCGGUAUAAUACUUUUUCUCGCACGACUCCGUCGAAUUGGUAAGGAAAUACGACUGACUGCAAGAAUUCAUUUGUUCAGCGAUGUUACGCUGAAAAAGGUUACUUCAGGUGACAGUGAGGACCCUCUACAAGCCAUAAAGAGUCAAAGAAGUCUUUGGACAGCGCCUUUAACCGAUAGAAGGAGCAGCAAUAAAAAAAGCCUUACAAACAGACAACUCCUCUUAACGUAUUUUGUCCUGUACCCCCAUUGUAGAACCGUUGCCCGACAAGUUUUGUCUUUAUAGUGUCGUUUUGAAUGUUGGCAUCCAGGGAAUGUCUGGAUAUUUGAAAGCACUUCAAAAACUUAAGGAGGGCUUGGUGCCGCCGUCGGAAGCAUGUUGUAUCAAAGGUCAGAAGAAAUCAGAAUUGUUACCUUAAA
This is a non-coding RNA of Drosophila suzukii, 456 nucleotides long. NCBI's taxonomy places the organism in Eukaryota, Metazoa, Arthropoda, Insecta, Diptera, Drosophilidae. The record is from RefSeq and is a predicted model, not a curated record.